CUGUAACAACAUGUUCCAGAAAAUGGAAAAAUAAUUGAACAUGCUGGUAAUUGUUUACACUCAAUGCCACUGCAACUGCUCUGCUCAUUUGACCUCAGUGGGCACCAGGUUUCAUCCUGCGGUAGAUCCACAGAAUGAAUAUUAUUUCAGCAGCUGAAAGCACUCUCCGCAAUUUAUUGUAGGAAAUACUUGUACUUACGCUGUACCUUUCACAACUUCACUCGGUACAUUCUAAUGUGCUUCACAAUCAGCCUCAGAUGUCUUAUGUUGGUUUCUAAAAGCUUCCUAAACCUCAAGUAUCACAGUGAGGCAAUACUUCACUUGUGAGUCUGUUGGGGUCAUCUAUUGCAUCGGGCACUCCAGGUCCUGCCUCCUCUACAUUGGCGAGACCCAACCCAGAUUGGGGGACCGCUUCGUCAAGCACCUCCGCUCCUUCUGCCACAACAGACAGGAUCUCCCAGUUGCCACUCUCUUCAACUCUGCUUCACAUUCCCAUUCAGAUAUGUCUAUACAUGACCUCCGUUACUGCUAUGAUGAGGCCAAACUCAGAUUGGAGGAGCAACACCUCAUAUCCCGUCUGGAUAGUCUCUAGCCCCUUGGUAUGAACAUCGAAUUCUCCAACUGCUAGUAAUUCCCCCCCUCUCCCUUCCACCAUCUCACUUUCACUCUGCCUCCUCUUCUAACUGCCAAUCACCCCUCUCAUGAUUCUGCCUUCUUCUACUACCCAUAGCGCUUUCCCCUUUCAUUCCUUUUUUACCUCUCUGGCCUAUCCCCUCCCUGCGUCCCCUUCUUCCACCCCUUUAUCUUUAUUCCUCUGAUUGGUUUUUCACUUGGCACUUUCCACCCUCUCCCCACCUUCUUUAUAGGGCCCCUGCCCCCUCCUUCUUCAGUCCUGACGAAGGGUCGCAGUCAGCUCAUUUCAACGGAUGUUGCCCGACCUGCUGAGUUCAUCCAGCUUGUUUGUACAUCUUGAUUUGACCACGGCAUCUGCAGUGUACUGUGUGAGAACAAAUUUCACUGCAUAUGCCAGUGAUAUUAAACUUGAAUCUGAUUCAGGAAAGCUGAGCAUUUUUUCUUUCACGCUUGUAAGAAGUGAGGGUGAAAGGGUCUUUCCAAAGACAUAUAUGAUUAUGAACAAUCAAAACAGAAUA
Long non-coding RNA from Hypanus sabinus (Atlantic stingray), 1151 nucleotides. RefSeq lists it as uncharacterized. The transcript is spliced from 4 exons. The record is from RefSeq and is a predicted model, not a curated record. Lineage: Eukaryota; Metazoa; Chordata; Chondrichthyes; Myliobatiformes; Dasyatidae.